Molecule: long non-coding RNA, 400 nt
Organism: Hibiscus syriacus
Lineage: Eukaryota; Viridiplantae; Streptophyta; Magnoliopsida; Malvales; Malvaceae
Exons: 5
Source: RefSeq, a predicted model, not a curated record
CUUUCAUCAAUUGCCUAAAACUGGUGUACUGAAGGCUAGUUGCUCAACUUAUAUGUUUAAAUAAACGAUAUAAUUUGCAGCAUGCCAGCUUUGGGCUUUCAGUGGAUGGAAGGAUUAUUACAUCUUUUACUAGGAAAUGUAGCAUCUAUUCUUCUCCAUAUUGCAGACAGGUUGAUACCAACUUCAACGUUUGGGUCCUCGCCUCGAAUAAAGACCAUGAUGCAACUCAUCAAUUGCCUGAGAUUGGCGAAGAUGAUCCAUCGGUUAUCUAUGUGAAACCAGGAUAUGAAGCCAACUUGGAUUCACUGAUACAGGACACAAUCCGGCUAAUAACCUCCACCAAGGACAUUUGCUCGGAAGCAUGCCGGAAAUCUGAACCCACCCUGCGUUAUAUUGGUAA